GGGCUCGCUUUGGCAGCACAAAUACAAAAAUUGGAACCAUACAGAGAAGUUAGCAUGGCCGUUGCGUAAAGAUGACAUACAAAUUUGUGAAACAUUCCACGUUUUU
Molecule: small nuclear RNA, 106 nt
Filed under: Dasypus novemcinctus (nine-banded armadillo)
Lineage: Eukaryota; Metazoa; Chordata; Mammalia; Cingulata; Dasypodidae
Source: RNAcentral